Molecule: long non-coding RNA, 473 nt
Filed under: Homo sapiens (human)
Lineage: Eukaryota; Metazoa; Chordata; Mammalia; Primates; Hominidae
Description: HSALNT0314043
Source: RNAcentral
GCAUUUAGUUGAAGCUGCAGGGGAGUGAGGGAGAGGAGGAUAGGAAGCAGGAAAGCGGGAGAGCUCGAGGGACAAGGGGGCUCGGUGUGUUUACACCAGGCACGGGCUACGAGCGUCCAUCCCGGCCCCUGGCUUGCGCUCCCGAAGAGGAGAGCAAGGCUGUUCUGGGAUCCGGCCGUCGUGCGGCAAGAGGCUUGUCUGUCCGGGUUGCCGGAACCAGGAGAACCCAGAGGGAAACCGAGGGAAAGGAGCGGCGCGUUUUACUAGAGAGAGCGCGAGCGGAAGAGGCGAGAGCAGGAGCGCGCGAGGGAGCAUCGAGCGCAGCGGAGACAUGAGGACCUACUGGCUGCACAGCGUCUGGGUGCUGGGCUUUUUCCUGUCCCUCUUCUCAUUGCAAGAUUGUCUGUAAGAAGCUAGGUAAAGACAAAGGAAGAGACAAAUCAAAUUGAAUAAUAGCAAAUUCAAGAGUUUUG